AUUGAACGCUGGCGGCAUGCCUUACACAUGCAAGUCGAACGGCAGCACGGGGGGUAACCCCUGGUGGCGAGUGGCGAACGGGUGAGUAAUAUAUCGGAACGUGUCCUGUAGCGGGGGAUAACCUAUCGAAAGAUGGACUAAUACCGCAUACGACCUACGGGUGAAAGCGGAGGACCGCAAGGCUUCGCACUAUAGGAGCGGCCGAUAUCGGAUUAGCUAGUUGGCGGGGUAACGGCCCACCAAGGCGACGAUCCGUAGCUGGUCUGAGAGGACGAUCAGCCACACUGGAACUGAGCCACGGUCCAGACUCCUACGGGAGGCAGCAGUGGGGAAUUUUGGACAAUGGGCGCAAGCCUGAUCCAGCCAUGCCGCGUGAGUGAAGAAGGCCUUCGGGUUGUAAAGCUCUUUCGGCGGGGACGAAACGGUUCGUGCUAAUACCACGGACUACUGACGGUACCCGCAGAAGAAGCACCGGCUAACUACGUG
RNAcentral lists this ribosomal RNA (486 nucleotides) under uncultured bacterium. RNAcentral's name for it is "partial 16S ribosomal RNA". It matches the Rfam family "Bacterial small subunit ribosomal RNA", at positions 29 to 507 of the family's 1533-position model. The record is from RNAcentral.